UCUAUAACUCGAGAUAUGGGCUGAACAUUAAAUAAUGUAUGGGCUGCAGGACAGAUUUUGACUUCUCUGUUGUUGCUACAAUUUGAACUUGAAAACGGUUCUUUUGAAUCUUGUAAUCUUCAUGAAAGUUUUAGGCCUAUAUCUCAGCUUUCCAUA
This is a non-coding RNA of Populus trichocarpa (black cottonwood), 156 nucleotides long. The record is from Rfam. NCBI's taxonomy places the organism in Eukaryota, Viridiplantae, Streptophyta, Magnoliopsida, Malpighiales, Salicaceae.